ACAGUCACAUAAUCAACCAUUUUACUAAAUACAAGCAUAUUUUCAUUCACAUACAGCUAAAGUUUUUCACAUUUCAUUACAGUGCACAACAAAGUGAGGAAAAGUACACAGUACAUUUUAUUCUGGAAUAUGAGGCAAUCUAAUCCAACAUGCAGUUGUGGUCUUUGUUGCAAGUUAGUUUAUCUUGUCUUCACCUAUGUAGUAAAAUAGCUUCUAGAGCUUUACCCUUAAUAUUGUACUAACACCUGACUUUUUCACACAUUUUCCAAAACCCACUUAUUGCAGUGACAACAGCACUGAAUUCUACUAAAAUGAGUUUUAAAGUUCUAGAAUUUGUUUAAGCAGUUAAGCUCAGCCACUUCUGCUGAAUCUAUGAUGAGUAUUUUUAAACCUGCCUAAAAAUGCAAAGAAUGAGAAAAAUAUACAUAUGAUGUAUUUAAGUCAAGAAAAUGGUAGAGAGUUUUGUUUCUAUCCUUUUUUUCUUGAACUGACAGAAUCCAGUCAACUCUCAUCUAUCCACUGGAUAAUCUUGCUUUCAGAAUCUUCUAAACAUAAUUAAGUAUAGCAGUUGAUGAAACUUUGUGUUAGCCCAAUUUACUAUCUUUUAUUUGUCUUCUACAACCACAAAGCUGGCAACUUAGUUACUCCACCCAAACUAGGUCACGCUAAACCAAGGAAGAGAUGAUGAUUGGGUCACUUGUAGUGGAUGCUGCAGGUAGGUCUAAGGUGGUUUGUUCCCAUAAUUUUCAUGAUUUUACUGCUUUAUUUUGGCUGAAGUAAAUCCUCCAAAUUUCAGAUUCAGUUACAUCCAUUCUGAAAUUUAAUACCAUAUUUCAAAGCAAUUUACCAUCCUUAGGCGUUCGUAUCACAAUGGAAAUGAGAAACCUGACUCUAAUCAGAAUUGGUUUUUUUACUACAAAAAGUAUGGCUUUUGCCUAGCUGAACUGGCUACAAUCAAAAAAUCAUUUAAAGCAUCACCUCUCUUCAAGAAGAUAAUGGAACCGCAAGGCAACCAUUUCAAGUUUCUGAUGCAACUAGUUAGCUGUCUGUUCACCUGAGAAUUAAGAGUUAACUUUGUAGGGUAGAUAGGAGCCCAGUGUAGGCAUAUGGCAAACAAGGAGCCAAGGUCAUUGUGAAGUGAGUAUUUACCCCCACCCCACUCCCCAUUGCUGUAUUUAGUUCCUUUCAAUAAUAUAUCCACUGCAUUUCAGUGAUAAGAACACAUAACCCAAAUAGUUCUAAUAUGUGUUCACUGUGCAAUUAUUCACUUGUGUAAAAUCCUCUUGUCAAUAAUACCU
RNAcentral lists this long non-coding RNA (1298 nucleotides) under Bos taurus (domestic cattle). RNAcentral's name for it is "long non-coding RNA NONBTAT026386". Lineage: Eukaryota; Metazoa; Chordata; Mammalia; Artiodactyla; Bovidae. The record is from RNAcentral.